CUAGAUCCUCCUCCUCCAGCCGCCUCGCCUCCCGCGGCCGCCGGGGGCCGCCUAGCUCCGCAGAGGGUUCGAGUUAUUGCAUGUGGUGGCAACCAAGCGUGAGGCUACAACUGCAUUACUUGCAAGGAAGUUACAAAAUGUAUGGAUCAUCAUACCCGUGACUUUCUUGCAAGUUGUGCAGUUGCUGUCUCAAGCUUGAUGCCUCUGUUUGCCAGAACUAUGAUGUGAAGUAGGAAUUUUAGCCAGGUUCUUUCUCUUGACCAGUAAAUCAAUUUUGAAAAGUUAAUGAAGUAAUAACUAUAUACACAAGGCAUGUAAUAUUUGAGAGCAGAUGCCCUUUUUUCAACAUUUUUAUCUCACUGUUUGAUAAGUCCUUUUUAAUGAACUGCUUAAAUAAGUUCGAGGAGGCAUUCCACACUAAAACUACUCAACUGUUUUCUACAAUUUCAUGUUGGAACAGUGUUGAAGACUUAAAUACUAUUUACUGUCACAGUUUGUUGAGUACUCUUAACUGUAUAACGUCCAAUAAACAAGCCUCCUUUAUUCCCAGUGGUUACAUGAAGCACACGCUCUUUGGUUUUGAUGCAUAAUUAGUUUUACCAAAAUUUGACAAUGCACAUAUAUUUUCCCUCAGUUAAGGCUUGUUUGGUUUAACGCAAAUAAUUACCUUACGAAAAUAGCAUGCCAAAAAUGUGGCGAAACAUCCUUUUUGGUUUGUUAACGAAUCCAGAAUUUUAAGUAGAUUUGGGCAGUGUCUUUUUAGUGCAAAAAUGUCAGCGAAAUUUUGGCUGCAGUUUUUUUCUGUUUGUCUGACUGAAUAUGAAGCCUGUCACCUUAGCAAGGCUGAGGUGAGAUUAGCCCCUGAUGUGGAACUUCAAGAAAUACUUCCAUUUAAUUGUACUAGAUAGAUUGCUGCUAUACAUUAAGCCUGUCAAAGCAGGCACAUGUGUGCACGCAUAAAUGCAGAUACAU
This is a long non-coding RNA of Lolium rigidum, 972 nucleotides long. RefSeq lists it as uncharacterized. The record is from RefSeq and is a predicted model, not a curated record. Lineage: Eukaryota; Viridiplantae; Streptophyta; Magnoliopsida; Poales; Poaceae. The transcript has 3 exons.